GACGAACGCUGGCGGCGUGCCUAAUACAUGCAAGUCGAGCGGACCGGAUUGGGGCUUGCCUUGAUUCGGUCAGCGGCGGACGGGUGAGUAACACGUGGGCAACCUGCCCGCAAGACCGGGAUAACUCCGGGAAACCGGAGCUAAUACCGGAUAACACCGAAGACCGCAUGGUCUUCGGUUGAAAGGCGGCCUUUGGGCUGCCACUUGCGGAUGGGCCCGCGGCGCAUUAGCUAGUUGGUGAGGUAACGGCUCACCAAGGCGACGAUGCGUAGCCGGCCUGGGAGGGUGGCCGGCCACACUGGGACUGAGACCCGGCCCCGACUCCUACGGGGGGCAGCAGUAGGGGAUCUUCCGCAAUGGGCGAAAGCCUGACGGAGCGACGCCGCGUGAGCGAAGAAGGCCUUCGGGUCGUAAAGCUCUGUUGUGAGGGACGAAGGAGCGUCGUUCGAAGAGGGCGGCGCGGUGACGUUACCUCACGAGAAAGCCCCGGCUAACUACGUG
RNAcentral lists this ribosomal RNA (501 nucleotides) under uncultured bacterium. RNAcentral describes it as "partial 16S ribosomal RNA". It matches the Rfam family "Bacterial small subunit ribosomal RNA", at positions 28 to 507 of the family's 1533-position model. The record is from RNAcentral.